RNAcentral lists this ribosomal RNA (391 nucleotides) under uncultured bacterium. RNAcentral's name for it is "bacterial SSU rRNA". It matches the Rfam family "Bacterial small subunit ribosomal RNA", at positions 29 to 424 of the family's 1533-position model. The record is from RNAcentral.
AUUGAACGCUGGCGGCAUGCCUUACACAUGCAAGUCGAACGGUAACGCGGGGCAACCUGGCGACGAGUGGCGAACGGGUGAGUAAUGCAUCGGAACGUACCCAGUAGUGGGGGAUAGCCCGGCGAAAAGCCGGAUUAAUACCGCAUACGACCUACGGGUGAAAGGGGGGGAUCGCAAGACCUCUCGCUAUUGGAGCGGCCGAUGUCAGAUUAGGUAGUUGGUGGGGUAAAAGCCUACCAAGCCUGUGAUCUGUAGCUGGUCUGAGAGGACGACCAGCCACACUGGGACUGAGACACGGCCCAGACUCCUACGGGAGGCAGCAGUGGGGAAUUUUGGACAAUGGGCGCAAGCCUGAUCCAGCAAUGCCGCGUGCGGGAAGAAGGCCUCGGUU